RNAcentral lists this ribosomal RNA (1737 nucleotides) under Triticum aestivum (bread wheat). Its description in RNAcentral is "partial small subunit ribosomal RNA". Lineage: Eukaryota; Viridiplantae; Streptophyta; Magnoliopsida; Poales; Poaceae. The record is from RNAcentral.
AUGGCCGUGGAGGAGCCCUCGCCGCCGCCGGCCGCCGACUCGUCCGCGCCACGGCCGCAGCAGCCGGAAGUCGGGGCGGGGGAACGGCGGACGGACAAGCAGGGCCGGCGCCUCGAGGUGUACAACGAGGUGCUCGCCCGCCUCCGCGCCUCCGGCGGCGUCGAGAUCUCGCCGGCCUUCCAGGACGCUCUCUGGGCGCACUUCCACCGCCUGCCCGCCCGGUACGCGCUGGAUGUGAACGCGGAGAGGGCGGAGGACGUGGUGACGCACCAGCGGCUGCUCGAGGAGGCGCGCGACCCGGCGCGCCGGCCCGCCCUGUCGGUGCGCGUUGUACAGGUAUCUAGGAUUAUUGAUGGUGAUAUGGAUGAUUCCUGUGAUCAUGAGAUGGAGAUGGUUCCUUCUAGUCACUUGCCCAGCCAAAUGGUUCACCCCCCUCCUGCAUUCGGCUCGUCCUCCAAUCUAGAGGCACUAGCUCUCGAAGCAAAUGAGUCUGAUGUUGGUAGCAGCAAUAACGACGAUGAUAAUAGCGUUCAUCUCGUCUCCAGGCCAAUGCAUGAGAUAGCAUUUGCAUCAACUGAUAAGCCAAAGCUACUUAGUCAGCUGACUUGUUUGCUUGGUGAGCUCGGUCUUGACAUCCAAGAAGCACACGCAUUUUCAACAAUCGAUGGCUACUCACUGGAUGUAUUCGUUGUCACCGGUUGGCGUCUUGUGGGUACUAAACAGCUGCAAGAAAAGAUAAUGGAGAAAUUUCGCAGUGUUGAGGCACAAGCUUGUACAGUAUCAAGCGCAUCAUCACCUUCAUUGGAAGGCCUGCAAGGUGGAGAGAGUAGGCCCACAUCUACCAGUGUGCAAAUACCAUCAGAUGGAGCAGAUGUUUGGGAAAUAGACCUGAAGCUGCUCAAGUUUGGGAACAAGGUUGCAUCUGGAUCAAACGGUGACCUGUACCGUGGAUCAUACUGCAUCCAGGAUGUGGCCAUUAAAGUAGUGAGACCUGAGCGCAUCAGUGCAGAUAUGUACCAAGAUUUUGCGCAGGAAGUGUACAUUAUGAGAAAGGUUCGUCACAGGAAUGUUGUGCAGUUUAUCGGUGCCUGUACAAGACAGCCCAACUUAUAUAUUAUAACAGACUUCAUGUCAGGAGGGAGUGUAUACGAUUACCUCCAUAAAAAGGGCAGUUCCUUCAAGCUCCCAGAAAUACUAAGAGUGGCAACAGACAUCUCUAAAGGAAUGAGCUACCUGCAUCAGAACAACAUAAUUCACCGAGAUCUCAAGACUGCAAAUCUUCUCAUGGAUGAAAACAAGGUUGUAAAGGUUGCGGAUUUCGGUGUUGCACGUGUGAAAGAUACUUCCGGAGUGAUGACUGCAGAGACUGGAACUUACCGUUGGAUGGCUCCUGAGGUCAUAGAGCAUAAGCCGUAUGAUCACAAGGCAGAUGUUUUUAGCUUUGGCAUUGUUCUAUGGGAGCUUUUAACCGGCAAGAUUCCUUAUGAUUAUCUAACUCCACUGCAAGCAGCAAUAGGUGUUGUUCAGAAGGGCAUCAGGCCGACGAUUCCGAAGGAUACCAAUCCCAAGCUCGCAGAGCUGCUUCAGAAAUGUUGGCACAGAGAUUCAGCCGAGAGGCCCGAUUUCUCCCAGAUCUUGGAGAUCCUUCAGAGACUCUCCAAAGAGGUGGGAGCCGACGGCGACGGCCGGCAGAAAACAAAGUCGGGCUUCCUUUCGGCGCUGAAGAGGAGCCACUGA